Molecule: ribosomal RNA, 253 nt
Filed under: uncultured bacterium
Lineage: Bacteria
Description: partial 16S ribosomal RNA
Rfam family: Bacterial small subunit ribosomal RNA
Source: RNAcentral
GACAGAGGGUGCAAACGUUGCUCGGAAUUACUGGGCGUAAAGCGCGUGUAGGUGGUUUGGUGUGUCAGAUGUGAAAUCCCUGGGCUCAACCCAGGAACUGCACCUGAAACUACCAGUCUUGAGUGGUGGAGAGGGAAGUGGAAUUCCUGGUGUAGAGGUGAAAUUCGUAGAUAUCAGGAGGAACACCAGUGGCGAAGGCGGCUUCCUGGACACCAACUGACGCUGAGACGCGAAAGCGUGGGGAGCAAACAGG